This 210-nucleotide non-coding RNA is filed under the name Clostridiales bacterium. RNAcentral describes it as "T-box sequence". It matches the Rfam family "T-box leader". Rfam says of the family: Uncharged tRNA acts as the effector for transcription antitermination of genes in the T-box leader family. T-boxes are found upstream of many aminoacyl-tRNA synthetase genes and some amino acid biosynthetic genes usually in Gram-positive bacteria. Lineage: Bacteria; Bacillati; Bacillota; Clostridia; Eubacteriales. The record is from RNAcentral.
AUAAAGACACUGAUUGGAAGAGUAGCCUUAAUAAAGUUUUCAGAGACAUGGUCCUUGGCUGGAAGACCAUCAACGGACUUGAGGUAAAAAUCAUCCAUGAGUCGGAUAUCAGAAAAGAGUAAGAUAUCCCGUGAUAAGCGUUAAUUAUUCAAGCGGCAGGUUUUUUUGACCUGCAACCUGGGUGGUACCGCGGAGAGUUUCGUCCCUGAU